AGCUAAAUAAUACAGAGUGAUAUUUGUACCUGCUUCGAAUCCGAAGCAAAAAAUAGUAAUAAAUAAGAAAAAUUACAUUCAAAGUGUAUAUAAUAAUAUAAUAAUUACAUGUCCUCAUAAAUCUUAUGAAUUGUAUCCAAACUUUGUUUGACCUUAUGCAGUUUGUUCUAAAUUACCAUUUAAAUAAAAUGUUAUAAUAAAUAAGACUAUUUCUAGACUUGUACACCUUAAACUAUAUGGGUAUGGCAAUUAAAGAAAUAAUUUAUUGAGAAAAUACGUCUAGUUCCAGUUAUGUCAUUUAUGAUACCUAGAU
Spodoptera frugiperda (fall armyworm) is the source of this 313-nucleotide long non-coding RNA. RefSeq lists it as uncharacterized. The record is from RefSeq and is a predicted model, not a curated record. Lineage: Eukaryota; Metazoa; Arthropoda; Insecta; Lepidoptera; Noctuidae. The transcript has 2 exons.